Molecule: ribosomal RNA, 1182 nt
Filed under: uncultured Bifidobacterium sp.
Lineage: Bacteria; Bacillati; Actinomycetota; Actinomycetes; Bifidobacteriales; Bifidobacteriaceae
Description: bacterial SSU rRNA
Rfam family: Bacterial small subunit ribosomal RNA
Source: RNAcentral
UGCUCCGCUCCAUCGCAUGGUGGGGUGGGAAAUGCUUUUGCGGCAUGGGAUGGGGUCGCGUCCUAUCAGCUUGUUGGCGGGGUGAUGGCCCACCAAGGCGUUGACGGGUAGCCGGCCUGAGAGGGUGACCGGCCACAUUGGGACCGAGAUACGGCCCAGACUCCUACGGGAGGCAGCAGUGGGGAAUAUUGCACAAUGGGCGCAAGCCUGAUGCAGCGACGCCGCGUGCGGGAUGGGGGCCUUCGGGUUGUAAACCGCUUUUGUUCAAGGGCAAGGCACGGUUUCGGCCGUGUUGAGUGGAUUGUUCGAAUAAGCACCGGCUAACUACGUGCCAGCAGCCGCGGUAAUACGUAGGGUGCAAGCGUUAUCCGGAAUUAUUGGGCGUAAAGGGCUCGUAGGCGGUUCGUCGCGUCCGGUGUGAAAGUCCAUCGCUUAACGGUGGAUCCGCGCCGGGUACGGGCGGGCUUGAGUGCGGUAGGGGAGUCUGGAAUUCCCGGUGUAACGGUGGAAUGUGUAGAUAUCGGGAAGAACACCAAUGGCGAAGGCAGGUCUCUGGGCCGUUACUGACGCUGAGGAGCGAAAGCGUGGGGAGCGAACAGGAUUAGAUACCCUGGUAGUCCACGCCGUAAACGUUGGGCGCUAGAUGUAGGGACCUUUCCACGGUUUCUGUGUCGUAGCUAACGCAUUAAGCGCCCCGCCUGGGGAGUACGGCCGCAAGGCUAAAACUCAAAGGAAUUGACGGGGGCCCGCACAAGCGGCGGAGCAUGCGGAUUAAUUCGAUGCAACGCGAAGAACCUUACCAAGGCUUGACAUACACCGGAAACGGCCAGAGAUGGUCGCCCCCUUGUGGUCGGUGUACAGGUGGUGCAUGGUUGUCGUCAGCUCGUGUCGUGAGAUGUUGGGUUAAGUCCCGCAACGAGCGCAACCCUCGUUCUAUGUUGCCAGCGCGUUAUGGCGGGGACUCAUAGGAGACUGCCGGGGUCAACUCGGAGGAAGGUGGGGAUGACGUCAAAUCAUCAUGCCCCUUAUGUCUUGGGCUUCACGCAUGCUACAAUGGCCGGUACAAAGGGCUGCGAUACCGUAAGGUGGAGCGAAUCCCAAAAAGCCGGUCUCAGUUCGGAUUGAGGUCUGCAACUCGACCUCAUGAAGUCGGAGUCGCUAGUAAUCGCAGAUCAGCAACGC